Molecule: ribosomal RNA, 468 nt
Filed under: uncultured bacterium
Lineage: Bacteria
Description: partial 16S ribosomal RNA
Rfam family: Bacterial small subunit ribosomal RNA
Source: RNAcentral
GACGAACGCUGGCGGCGUGCUUAACACAUGCAAGUCGAACGGAAAGGCCCUGCUUUUGUGGGGUGCUCGAGUGGCGAACGGGUGAGUAACACGUGAGUAACCUGCCCUUGACUUUGGGAUAACUUCAGGAAACUGGGGCUAAUACCGGAUAGGAGCUCCUGCUGCAUGGUGGGGGUUGGAAAGUUUCGGCGGUUGGGGAUGGACUCGCGGCUUACCAGCUUGUUGGUGGGGUAGUGGCUUACCAAGGCUUUGACGGGUAGCCGGCCUGAGAGGGUGACCGGCCACAUUGGGACUGAGAUACGGCCCAGACUCCUACGGGAGGCAGCAGUGGGGAAUAUUGCACAAUGGGCGGAAGCCUGAUGCAGCAACGCCGCGUGCGGGAUGACGGCCUUCGGGGUGUAAACCGCUUUCGCCUGUGACGAAGCGUGAGUGACGGUAAUGGGUAAAGAAGCACCGGCUAACUACGUG